UGGGGAAUAUUGCACAAUGGAGGGAACUCUGAUGCAGCGACGCCGCGUGAACGAAGAAGGCUUUCGAGUCGUAAAGUUCUUUUAUAUGGGAAGAUAAUGACGGUACCAUAAGAAAAAGCCCCGGCUAACUACGUGCCAGCAGCCGCGGUAAUACGUAGGGGGCUAGCGUUGUCCGGAAUCACUGGGCGUAAAGGGUUCGCAGGCGGAAAUGCAAGUCAGGUGUAAAAGGCAGUAGCUUAACUACUGUAAGCAUUUGAAACUGCAUAUCUUGAGAAGAGUAGAGGUAAGUGGAAUUUUUAGUGUAGCGGUGAAAUGCGUAGAUAUUAAAAAGAAUACCGGUGGCGAAGGCGACUUACUGGGCUCUUUCUGACGCUGAGGAACGAAAGCGUGGGUAGCAAACGGG
This 403-nucleotide ribosomal RNA is filed under the name Verrucomicrobiota bacterium. Its description in RNAcentral is "Verrucomicrobia bacterium partial 16S ribosomal RNA". It matches the Rfam family "Bacterial small subunit ribosomal RNA", at positions 355 to 776 of the family's 1533-position model. The record is from RNAcentral. Lineage: Bacteria; Pseudomonadati; Verrucomicrobiota.